RNAcentral lists this unclassified non-coding RNA (331 nucleotides) under Hevea brasiliensis (rubber tree). Lineage: Eukaryota; Viridiplantae; Streptophyta; Magnoliopsida; Malpighiales; Euphorbiaceae. The record is from RNAcentral.
AGCCAAAACCCUAACCAACCUGAUCACUCAUCAGAACACCCAGCUGUACGUAUCCACAAACAGGCAGGAAUCAUGCUCCGCUGCUCUGCUCUUUCAUCUGCACCAACAUCGUAAGCGCCAACGCAGUCCACGUCAGGAGCAAGGGUAGUGUUACAACGAUUUGCGCCACCAUCAUCCGCAAUGCUCCUCAUCCUUGCUCUUUCGGCAGAUUGAAAUGGGCAUUCUUGCCAGUCCAGAGCGUUUCACCUGAUCUAGCGAGAGUGAGGAUUCUACGGCGAUAACUUGUCUUCUGAGUGUGGAGCGCUACACAUUGUAUUUUCUUGAAUCCGUG